AUCCAAUUGAUGAGUUCUAAAUAGGACGAAAUGUGAGUCAAACUGGAU
RNAcentral lists this non-coding RNA (48 nucleotides) under Schistosoma mattheei. The record is from RNAcentral. Lineage: Eukaryota; Metazoa; Platyhelminthes; Trematoda; Strigeidida; Schistosomatidae.